RNAcentral lists this ribosomal RNA (468 nucleotides) under uncultured bacterium. Its description in RNAcentral is "partial 16S ribosomal RNA". It matches the Rfam family "Bacterial small subunit ribosomal RNA", at positions 28 to 507 of the family's 1533-position model. The record is from RNAcentral.
GACGAACGCUGGCGGCGUGCCUAACACAUGCAAGUCGAACGGAAAGGCCCUGCUUUUGUGUGGUGCUCGAGUGGCGAACGGGUGAGUAACACGUGAGUAUCCUGCCCUUGACUUUGGGAUAACUCCAGGAAACUGGGGCUAAUACCGGAUAGGAGCUCCUGCUGCAUGGUGGGGGUUGGAAAGAUUCGGCGGUUGGGGAUGUACUCGCGGCUUAUCAGCUUGUUGGUGGGGUAGUGGCUUACGAAGACUUUGACGGGUAGCCGGCCUUAGAGAGUGAACGGAGACAUGGGGACUGAGGUACGCACCAGAAGCCUAUGGGAGGCAGCAGUGGAAAAUAUGGCACAACGGCCGGAAGCCUGAUGCAGAAACGCCGCGUGCGGGAUGACGGCCUUCGGGUUGUGAACAGCUUUCGACUGAGACGAAGCGUGAUUGACGGUAAUGAGUAAAGAAGCACCGGCUAACUACGUG